RNAcentral lists this ribosomal RNA (301 nucleotides) under uncultured bacterium. Its description in RNAcentral is "partial 16S ribosomal RNA". It matches the Rfam family "Bacterial small subunit ribosomal RNA", at positions 509 to 809 of the family's 1533-position model. The record is from RNAcentral.
CAGUCGCCGCGGUAACACGAAGGGGGCUAGCGUUACUCGGAAUUACUGGGCGUAAAGGGUGCGUAGGCGGCACGAUUAGUCAGGCGUGAAAUUCCUGGGCUCAACCUGGGGACUGCGCUUGAUACGGUCGAGCUAGAGGAUGGAAGUGGGUUGUGGAAUUCCCAGUGUAGAGGUGAAAUUCGUAGAUAUUGGGAAGAACACCGGUGGCGAAGGCGGCAACCUGGUCCAUUACUGACGCUGAGGCGCGACAGCGUGGGGAGCAAACAGGAUUAGAUACCCCGGUAGUCCCUGUCUCUUAUAA